RNAcentral lists this microRNA precursor (93 nucleotides) under Glossina morsitans morsitans. RNAcentral's name for it is "microRNA mir-598". Lineage: Eukaryota; Metazoa; Arthropoda; Insecta; Diptera; Glossinidae. The record is from RNAcentral.
UGAUGAUGUUGAUGCUGAUGCUGAUGCUGAUGCUGAUGCUGAUGCUGAUGCUUAUGCUGUUGCAUCGUUAUCUUCAUUACAUCAAUAUAUACA